GUGGGGAAUCUUGGGCAAUGGGCGCAAGCCUGACCCAGCCAUGCCGCGUGUGUGAAGAAGGCCUUCGGGUUGUAAAGCACUUUCAGUCGUAAAGAAAAGCUCUAGAUUAAUACCUUAGAGUCUUGACGUUAGCGACAGAAGAAGCACCGGCUAACUCCGUGCCAGCAGCCGCGGUAAUACGGAGGGUGCAAACGUUAAUCGGAAUUACUGGGCGUAAAGCGCGCGUAGGCGGUUUGGUAAGUGGGAUGUGAAAGCCCCGGGCUUAACCUGGGAACUGCAUUCCAAACUGUCAGACUAGAGUUUGGUAGAGGGAGGUGGAAUUUCCUGUGUAGCGGUGAAAUGCGUAGAUAUAGGAAGGAACACCAGUGGCGAAGGCGGCCUCCUGGACCAAAACUGACGCUGAGGUGCGAAAGCGUGGGGAGCAAACAGGAUUAGAAACCCUUGUAGUCC
RNAcentral lists this ribosomal RNA (450 nucleotides) under uncultured bacterium. RNAcentral's name for it is "bacterial SSU rRNA". It matches the Rfam family "Bacterial small subunit ribosomal RNA", at positions 354 to 796 of the family's 1533-position model. The record is from RNAcentral.